RNAcentral lists this long non-coding RNA (788 nucleotides) under Phoenix dactylifera (date palm). RNAcentral's name for it is "long non-coding RNA (PDAC_LNC004177)". The record is from RNAcentral. Lineage: Eukaryota; Viridiplantae; Streptophyta; Magnoliopsida; Arecales; Arecaceae.
UCCACUCGAUAAUCUAAUAUAGAGUUUUUAGUACAUAACAACUUAAAAUUUCAAAACUCUAUUAAGCCUUUGUAAUGUUGAGUUUUUAAACUUCAAGAUGCAGAUUUCAAUUUGAGCAUAAUGUCACAUUCAUAGUCAUGAGACACAAUCUUAAAAGUAGAUGAGGCAAUCAUGAAGCCAUGCUAGCCAUAAUACCAUAAGGGCAUAAGGCAUAAAAGGUAUUAAAAAAUGUUUAAGCCUAUUUCAAAGGCAUUAGAGCUCAAUAUAACCAAAUUUUAGAGUUGGAAUUUAUUUGUCUGGCUUCUCUCUAGGCAUGCCACAGAACUUAUUGACCUACUGGCAUGAGACACAAUCUUGAAAGGAGACGAGGCGAUCAUGGAGCCAUGCUAGCCCUAAUACCAUAAGGGCAUAAGGCAUAAAAGGUAUUAAAAAAUGUUUAAGCCUAUUUCAAAGGCAUUAGAGCUCAAUAUAACCAAAUUUUAGAGUUGGAAUUUAUUUGUCUGGCUUCUCUCUAGGCGUGCCACAGAACUUAUUGACCUACUGGCAUGCCACCAGCACUAGAGCAGCUAGAAAAGGAAUAAUCGAAGGGAGGAUAUAAGAGUAGCAUGGGUCUAGGUGCCUUGAUCUUCAAGGAUUUUCGCCUCUGUCACACCACCAUUCGAAGAAGAUGGAUUUGGUUAAAGAUAGGGUAUAGCUUAGGCUACAGUAGUAAAGAUCUAAAUUAACAAUACUCCUAAGGUAGAGUCCUACUAGUAAAUAAAGUAUAAGGUAAAAUAAAGCUAAGAUAG